This is a long non-coding RNA of Sitodiplosis mosellana (orange wheat blossom midge), 1706 nucleotides long. RefSeq lists it as uncharacterized. The record is from RefSeq and is a predicted model, not a curated record. The transcript has 3 exons. Lineage: Eukaryota; Metazoa; Arthropoda; Insecta; Diptera; Cecidomyiidae.
AAUCGUCUCAUUUGUUGAUUGUUGCUUCCGUUCUGAAGAAGUGCGCUAGCAAACCUCUCAUUAAUUUGUGUUGAAUUGUUAAUUUUCAAAACAAAAAUCGAAAAAUUUCAAUAAAUGCGAAAAAUCGAAUGAAAAUAUCUAAUUUUAAAUACAAAAACAAUUGAAUUAAAAUGAAGUUGGUAAAGUUUUUUGUAAUCGGAACGCUGGUGUUGUUAUAUGUGCAGUUGUCACUUCAAGCUGCUACUGGACAACGAGACCCAAACAUACAAGAAUUACAUGGUACUGAUGGCCACUAGCAAAUGGAUGAAAAUCCCACAGAUACGAUUAUAAACCGAAAGAAAAGACAACAACAAAUGAGCACCUAUGAAAUAUUUAAUGAUUGCAUAAUUAAUGUAUGGAAAACUGGCGUUGAGUCCAACGAUUACUUAUUCUGCAAAUUCGCGUCCGGCAUCGUAUUUCCAGAUGUGGCCGAAUUAGAGCCGUUGGGCUCGGUUGCAUCACAAACCGAAAAAAUCAUUAGGUUCGAGAAGGAUGAUACUGAUAUUGAAUCUGUCACAACGUUUUCGGAUUAUCUUCUUAGUAAGGAAAAGAAAGCGAAAGAACAAUUGAAAACCCGAAAAAAUCCAAAUGAAGACGAUGAUUCACGAUGCAAAUAGGUCUAGAGACGUUUUUUAUUUUUCAAAUAAAUAAACUUUUGAAUAAAACAAAAUAAGUGAUAAUAUUGUAACAUUGAAUAGAAUAGCGAAAUUCCGUUUGCAUUGAGAAAUGAUUAUUUGAUUGACAUGAAGCUAUCAACUGUUCAUUGAAUAAACUGUGGCGCAAAAUCAAAACAAAGGUUAAUCUUUCAUUGAUAAAGUGUCGAGCUGAAUUGUGUUCACCAGCUUCUUAUCACUGCUUUCCAUUCGCCAUUCCGAGAAACAACGACUUGUACUCACAAUACUUUCAACUUGUGCGGAGUGAAGUGUAAACGUGAACUAAUUUCUACGACGGAGAAAAUAUUUUUAUUCUAUAAAAGUUGAAUAUUUGUUCAAAAUAAGAAGAAUAAAUUGAAGAGAAAAGAAAAUGACAUCGAUGAACAUUAUCGUGGUCGGAUUAUUCGUACAGUUAUUCCUGCAGCCCGUGCUUUUACUCACAAUCCCAAAAGCAUUGGAUGAAAAUAAAAUUCCCACCGUGGAGGAUGAGUGGAGGGAGUGGAGGGAGUGGAGGGAGUCGAAUACAUUGAUAAACAAGGAAGUCUUAGAGCAAAAACUAAUAACGGAUUUACGUGAAGAAAUUUUCCAGCGCUGCAUGGAUGACAAAGGUGGAUAUAACACAUAUGAAAAUUACGUCAAGUGCAAACCCUAUGAGAAAAGGGAAACGCAGAAGAUGUUGGAAUCAAAAGCGAUUGGAUCCACAACUCCGAGUAGCGAUGAAAUAAUCAAAGUUGAAAGCGCUGAAGCACAUGCAAGUGAAUAUGAGGAGGAAGAAAACGACCCAGAUUUUCCGGUUGAAUUUGUUGAUGAGGAGAAGCAUUUGAAUAGACGAGUUGGAUUCUGGACGAAAUUGUGGCAUCGAAUCAUCGAUGGGCCGGAAUUGGAUCCAUACCCGCUCUUUUAAAAAGAAUUUUUUUUCACGUAGAUUUGAAACCGAUAAGAUGUUUUUCUGUUUCCGCGAAUUUCUUUUUAAUCAUUCCCAAAUAAACCAAAAUAUAUUCAUUAUUCAGCAAA